RNAcentral lists this ribosomal RNA (429 nucleotides) under Pseudomonadota bacterium. RNAcentral describes it as "Proteobacteria bacterium partial 16S ribosomal RNA". It matches the Rfam family "Bacterial small subunit ribosomal RNA", at positions 355 to 776 of the family's 1533-position model. The record is from RNAcentral. Lineage: Bacteria; Pseudomonadati; Pseudomonadota.
UGGGGAAUAUUGGACAAUGGGCGAAAGCCUGAUCCAGCCAUGCCGCGUGUGUGAAGAAGGUCUUCGGAUUGUAAAGCACUUUAAGUUGGGAGGAAGGGCAGUAAGCGAAUACCUUGCUGUUUUGACGUUACCGACAGAAUAAGCACCGGCUAACUCUGUGCCAGCAGCCGCGGUAAUACAGAGGGUGCAAGCGUUAAUCGGAAUUACUGGGCGUAAAGCGCGCGUAGGUGGUUCGUUAAGUUGAAUGUGAAAGCCCCGGGCUCAACCUGGGAACUGCAUCCAAAACUGGCGAGCGAGAGUAGGGCAGAGGGUGGUGGAAUUUCCUGUGUAGCGGUGAAAUGCGUAGAUAUAGGAAGGAACACCAGUAGCGAAGGCGACCACCUGGGCUCAUACUGACACUGAGGUGCGAAAGCGUGGGGAGCAAACAGG